RNAcentral lists this long non-coding RNA (768 nucleotides) under Ananas comosus (pineapple). RNAcentral describes it as "long non-coding RNA (ACOM_LNC026936)". Lineage: Eukaryota; Viridiplantae; Streptophyta; Magnoliopsida; Poales; Bromeliaceae. The record is from RNAcentral.
CAUGUCUCAAACUCUUCAAGACUCCGACACUACUUGUCUCGACUUGUCACGAAUAUGCCAACACUAAAAUCCCUAACAUAUCUAUACCUCUAUACCUAUAUAUUAAUCUCUAAAAAGCUUGUCAUAUGGCAACAUUUUCUUCAUUGUUCAAUAUGGACGCCACUAGCCAAUUAAGGAUGUCAAUGGGUCGGAUUCAGGGUGAAUUUUCAAAAACAUGAUCCCGAACCCAACUCCAAACCCAAAACCCGAACCCGACGGAUUUUAAAAAUCCAUAUCCAAACCCGAACUCGACCAAAAAUCCGAAACCUAAACCCGAAGAUUCGAACCCGAAACAAUUAUUUCUUUUUUCCAUAUUUUAAAACAUAUUACAUUAAAUCUAAUUUUAAAAUACAAAUUCAAAUAUAACUUCAAAUUUUAUAUACAUAUUAUAUAUAAUGUAAAAGAUAUUUGGAUUCGGAUCAGGUUUGGGUCGGUUAUAGUCAAAAUCUAUAUCCGAGUCCAUAUCGGUCGGGUUUUUAUUUUUGAUAUCCAUAUCCAAAACCAUAUCCGUUUAGCAUCAAGUAAAUCCAUUCUGUUCGGGUUCGGAUUCGGAUAAAAUUUUGGAUAUUCGUACCCAUUGACAUCCUUACUGCCAAUAAUUUCUGCAUUGGGCUGAACCGGCCUACCUGGUUCUCUCUUCUUUUUUUGAAUACAAUCGCUCCAUAUGUUUUUCUCUUUCUUUCCUUGAAUUGAACCAGGGCACCCCUGACGACCCCGCCAAUACACUUU